AGCGUGAGAGACAAUGACAAGGGUGUGUUCUUCAUAGCACCACCCAUCAUGUGGAGUGUGUCACCGAGUACUUUAGUCUGAGCAUAUAAAAGAGGUGAGAUACAUCUCUAGAGGGUUCAGAAAAUUACAAAGACUGGAAGAGAAUCAAAGCAUUUUAAGAACCAUACCGGUUCAGGGCCAACAAACAGGUAUACUUCCCUUUAUCUAGCACAUGACACAGCACUGAACAUGUGGACUUUGUUACUUGUAUUUGCUACUGGAUCACCAGCUCUACUUCAGGCUGCACCUGUUCAGGCAAAGGCUAUGGUUACAAAGCCCAUAAUUAAUCUGCAGGUAUGACAAUUUCAGCUGACUUCUGCUGUUAUCUGUGAGACUUUAAAGACUGCAUCCAUAGAGGAAAAACUGAAUCAUAAAGGAAAAUGAAAAGUUCCCACAUUUCCACUCAUACAUUUGAAUAAGUUUUCCAGUUAAUCGUGAGUACAUAAUUUAUAGAUUUACAUUUGCAUUUCAGGUACGGAAUUAAUAAAUUAAAACGAUUAUUCUUAUUAAAUCUUCAAAACAGUCAGG
RNAcentral lists this long non-coding RNA (567 nucleotides) under Sinocyclocheilus anshuiensis. RNAcentral describes it as "lncRNA (ENSSANG00000015930.1)". The record is from RNAcentral. Lineage: Eukaryota; Metazoa; Chordata; Actinopteri; Cypriniformes; Cyprinidae.